RNAcentral lists this ribosomal RNA (253 nucleotides) under uncultured bacterium. Its description in RNAcentral is "partial 16S ribosomal RNA". It matches the Rfam family "Bacterial small subunit ribosomal RNA", at positions 524 to 776 of the family's 1533-position model. The record is from RNAcentral.
GACAGAGGUGCCAAGCGUUAGGCGGAAUCACUGGGCUUAAAGCGUGUGUAGGCGGGUGCCUAAGUACCUUGUGAAAUCCCACGGCUCAACCGUGGAACUGCUCGGUAUACUGGGUGCCUUGAGCCACUUAGGGGCUACCGGAACAAAUGGUGGAGCGGUGAAAUGCGUAGAUAUCAUUUGGAACGCCAAUGGUGAAAACAGGUAGCUGGGAGUGUGCUGACGCUGAGACACGAAAGCCAGGGGAGCGAACGGG